RNAcentral lists this non-coding RNA (21 nucleotides) under Arabidopsis thaliana (thale cress). The record is from RNAcentral. Lineage: Eukaryota; Viridiplantae; Streptophyta; Magnoliopsida; Brassicales; Brassicaceae.
UUAUUCUCAUGAUGCCCCUAA